Molecule: non-coding RNA, 87 nt
Organism: Potamilus streckersoni
Lineage: Eukaryota; Metazoa; Mollusca; Bivalvia; Unionida; Unionidae
Source: the annotation of a GenBank genome assembly
GUUAUGACCGUUCCGAUAGCUUAAUGGUUAAAGCGUCCGCCUCGGAUUCAGGAGGUUGCGGUUUCGAACCCAGGCCGAAUCAUAGCA